AGUAUAAUGAGACAUAAUCUUUCAAAAUGAGACACAAUCUUUUAACAGAAAUAUGUUGGACAUAUUUGGAUGCCUAUUUACAAUUAAUGUCUGAUUUUCAAUAAACCUUGAUUGGAAAUGAUGAAAUAGAUAAAUCUGUUACAUUUUGUCUCCAACAUACAUCAAUUCCAAUGAAUGGGAUAGAAGAAUCAUAGACAAAAUAUAUGUGUGGAAUGAAAGCAUUAGAUAAAUCCAGCUUUGUUCAUUCGUGGAUAAAUGCUGGAUGCAUCAAUUGAGAAGAAAGGUAUUCCCUUAUGCAACUUAAAAUGGAAUCUCAGAAAUUGCCGGCUCCUCAACACACCUCUUGAUUACUAAACCA
RNAcentral lists this long non-coding RNA (358 nucleotides) under Prunus dulcis (almond). RNAcentral describes it as "sRNA ncRNA". The record is from RNAcentral. Lineage: Eukaryota; Viridiplantae; Streptophyta; Magnoliopsida; Rosales; Rosaceae.